GGAUCAAUGAAGCGGCCAUGAUCGAAAAAAUAGCCACUAAUGUUUCAAACAUGUUGAAUUGCUGCACACCUUCAAGAGACUUUGACAGUUUAGUUGGGAUGGAAGCUCAUAUGGAAGAGUUGGGACCGUUGUUACGUCUAGAUUCAGAUGAGGUAAGGAUAAUUGGGAUUUGGGGUCCGCCUGGGAUUGGUAAGACAACCAUCGGUAGAUUUAUGUUAGACCAAUUCUCCAGCAGAUUCGAACUUAGUGCAAUCAUGGUUGAUAUUAGAAGAAGCUAUCCCUUUCCAAUAUCUUGUUCGGAUGAGUAUAGUGCUCAGUUGCAACUUCAAACACAAAUGUUGUCUCAAAUGAUGAAUCAGAAAGAUAUCAAGAUUUCUCAUUUAGGAAUGGCCCAAGAAUGGUUGAAAGAAAAGAAGGUGUUUCUCGUUCUUGAUGAAGUAGAUAAGUUAGGACAAGUAAAUGCCUUGGCGGAGGAAACCCGAUGGUUUGGUCCUGGAAGUCGGAUUAUUAUUAUAACAGAAGAUCUAAGAAUUCUUAAAGCUCUUAAGAUCAAUCAUAUUUACGCAGUGAAUUUUCCAACAAGUGAUGAGGCUUUUCAAAUCUUUUGUAUGCAUGCCUUUGGACACAAGCACCCAGAUGAUGGCUUCUAUGAGCUUGCUAGAGAAGUUGCCAACCUUGCUGGUAAACUCCCUUUGGGUUUGAAGAUUCUAGGCUCCAGUUUGAAAGGAAAGUCCAAGCCAGAGUGGGAAAGGAAACUACCAAGGUUAAAGACCAAGCUUAAUGGAGAAAUAGAGAGCAUUAUGAAGUUCAGUUAUGAUGCCUUAGAUGAUGAAGAAAACAAAUACAUAUUUCUUUAUAUAGCCUGCUUUUUCAGCAACAAGUUCUUAUAUCAACGUAAUGUGGAAGAGAUUCUGUCAAAGAAGUUCUCGGAUGUGAGGCAAGGUCUUGAAGUUUUAGCUGAAAAAGCUCUCAUAUCUAUAAAUUACGGAUUGAUACAUAUGCAUCAUCUACUACAGCAAUUUGGAAGAGAAACUUCACGUAAACAAUUUGUUCAGCAUGGCCUUAGGGAACAUUAUCUUUUGGUCGGUGCAAGAGAUAUAUGUGAAGAGCUCAGCAAUGAUACAACAGUAAGUUAUGUUGUUGCAAUAUUGCUUUUUACAAAUUGUGUUUAUUUUAUAACUAACUAGAUAAGGGUCCACGUAAAAACGCGGGUUAAUUUUUAUGUUUUCACGUAUGUGGUAAAAAUAUUGCAUGUGUUAAAAUUUGGAAAAUCAUAACAUUAACA
This 1285-nucleotide long non-coding RNA is filed under the name Capsella grandiflora. RNAcentral's name for it is "long non-coding RNA (CGRA_LNC000226)". The record is from RNAcentral. Lineage: Eukaryota; Viridiplantae; Streptophyta; Magnoliopsida; Brassicales; Brassicaceae.